Molecule: ribosomal RNA, 127 nt
Filed under: Microvirgula sp. AG722
Lineage: Bacteria; Pseudomonadati; Pseudomonadota; Betaproteobacteria; Neisseriales; Aquaspirillaceae
Source: RNAcentral
CCUGGCGGCCAUAGCGAGCGGGAACCACCCCUUCCCAUCCCGAACAGGACCGUGAAACUGCUUUGCGCCGAUGAUAGUGUGGCACUUGCCCAUGCGAAAGUAGGUCACCGCCAGGUCCUAUACUGAA